This 1246-nucleotide long non-coding RNA is filed under the name Toxoplasma gondii VEG. The record is from RNAcentral. Lineage: Eukaryota; Apicomplexa; Conoidasida; Eucoccidiorida; Sarcocystidae.
CGAAAAUAGAUAUUCUCUUGAAAAGACGGGGACAAAACUGCGUCCCCGGGCCAGGGUAACUCCGACGCGAAAGACCUGCAGGGCUGACGAUUCAUAACAAGACGCUCGCGUCUUGCCGCCUCACAAUCGAAGGGACAGCCGACGCAACGUCUUCGAACAUCGAGUGAAAACCCGAGAAAGACAGUGAAUGCAGCGAACGAGUUCAUGAAAUUCCAGACGAACUGCGUGAACAGGAAACAGACAUCUCAGCUUGAAACGGCGCGCGGGUAAAGUGUAUUUUAGCUGUUUUUUGUCUUUGAGUGGCUGCGGCGUUCUGACCACGCUCAUCCUCGACAUGAAAGCCUUACGAAUUUGCUGUACAGCAAACCUGACAUACCUGUAGGUCUUAAUAUACCCGUUUCCUGAACUCAUGAGAGUGGUUUAGACACUUCGUUUUGUUGUAGGUAUGCUUUUAAGAACGAGUUGUCCGUGGAGGGUGCAUGGUGCGGCGAGACGCCCGCUUUCGCCGGGGCCCAGGGUGUCGAGACACUUUGCUACCGUUUCGUUAGUUCUUCGUAGAAACUUGUUCCUUUGCAUUCUCUCUCAUGUGUCACCCUUGCUCUUCUCAGCAUCACGACCCAUGUUACGUAAUGUCGCGGAGACCGGUGAAUUGAAAUACAAUGUGUUCGCAAGGUUUAGGGUGUGGUCACGGAAGCUAGAGACUGCAUGGCACUUGUUGGACCGUGCACAACCAGACGUUUUGUAGUCGGUGUGACGUUCACCGGCUGUCUCGUAGAACCAACUCCAUUGAAAUCUUGCGUGUCACGACUGACCUCUCGAUAUCCGAGCACAUCUUCCCUUGCAGAGUUCACGAGUGUCGCGCCACGUAUCUACGAAGGGUUUCAGUUGCGUGCAUAUUCUGGACACUGUUACAAGAACACCCAAGUUCUUCCUGUUCUUUCUUUUACAUUUCUUAUACAACUUGAAAGCCUUUUACCCGGUUUUGAGUCAUAAUGCAUUGUGCAUGAUCCUCAGGAGUGCAUAAGAUAUAGUGGUUCCAGCGCAUGUUUGAAUCGAACAUUUUUGCUUUUGCUCGGUGGUAUAGCUUAAGCAUGUAACCGGCAGGGUAGUUCCUCUGUGAGGCUUUCAAGGAAGCGCAUCUCCCCUGCUUCCGCUGGUAUUGCUUGUCCCUCCGUACGAACGUAUUCAGAGCAUUGCACUGCUUCUAUGUUAUCAGUUCUGACGUGGUUCAUGUGCUAACUCAGGG